Pistacia vera is the source of this 652-nucleotide long non-coding RNA. RefSeq lists it as uncharacterized. The transcript has 3 exons. NCBI's taxonomy places the organism in Eukaryota, Viridiplantae, Streptophyta, Magnoliopsida, Sapindales, Anacardiaceae. The record is from RefSeq and is a predicted model, not a curated record.
CGUAGCCUUUUUUGAUGAUACAGAUAGUGUUUCCCUUUUCCUUAUAAAUUAUAUCCCAACCCGCCAAUUUAUUUUUCGAAGUCCCUGGAGGAGCAACGAAAUUGGUGCCAACUUCCUUUCAAAGCCUCUCAACGAGCUACAAAACCUAGGUGAUUAUCUCCGAUAUUGAAGUUCAAUUGCUUCAAUCUCUUCAAGGAGUAACUGGGGUGAUCAUUCAAAGAAAAGAAAAAUUGAGAAGAAGAAGAAAGAAAAGAGAGAAGAAAAUGGAGAGAAAGAAAAGAGAGAAAGAAGAAGAAGAAGAGGGGAAGAAGAAAAGAAUGAAGGGAGAGAAAGAUGAAACCAAGAAUAUAGAGAGAGAUGCAAGAAGAGAGCGAUGCAGGUGGCUGGAAAAGUGGUCGCCAGUGAGCAAAAUUCUGGUGAUAGGAAAGAGUAAAGGAAGAUCAAGCAUAUGAAAGGUCAAGAAGGAGAUUGUGUAGAGGAGUGAAUUACACUCAAGGUUGGGCCACACGACUUCAUUUCAUCAUAUGUGCCAUAGUUGUGUUUUAUUUUCUGUUGCAAAGUUUAUGUUUCUUCAUCAUGUAUUUAUUUCAUGUUUUGGAUUGUAAAAGAUAUGGAAAAAUCUGAUACCAUAUGUUUCAUUUUGUAAAAAUUC